This is a long non-coding RNA of Felis catus (domestic cat), 8947 nucleotides long. RefSeq lists it as uncharacterized. The record is from RefSeq and is a predicted model, not a curated record. The transcript is spliced from 24 exons. Lineage: Eukaryota; Metazoa; Chordata; Mammalia; Carnivora; Felidae.
GUAGAAACCGUAGGAUUUUUUCAGGUAUCCGGUCAACUAGUGUUAGUCUCUCCUGAAAACGGUGCGUUGAUCUUGAUUUGGUACAAGUGUGCUGGUGGAAUUCAUGUGUUCCAUAAUAGUGGAAGGGAACAAGUUCACGUGCAGGUGUCUUGAGAGAACGCAUUGUAUCUUAAACACAUUUCUGUGUGUUUCCUCAGGUGCCUGGUAAGAAAACAGGGUGAACUGAAAAUGGUUCACAUACCCUUGCUAGUAAGCAGACUCGUAUCAUUGAAUCACACUGAGCCUAUUGAUGAUAGCUAACAUAAGACAUUGCUAAUGUCACAGUAGAGAUGAUGUAGGCCUUAGCCACAGCACCGACCAUCUGAUCUUCAGACUGCUAGGUGCUCCGUAGAAGUUGUGUUACCUGACAAUAGUCUUGACCUUGGAGUCCUACAGCUAUUCGAGCAGAGGUUUCCUGUCAAGAGAUUAUGAUGAAACUCGCACUAGUGAUUCUCUGGGGACAUUACUGUUCCCCAGACAAGUGGUGAUGUUCACCUUCGCCAUUUCAAACCACCUGAUCUUCUCGUAUCUGGAUGAAUGUUAUCGAUGGACUAAACUUGCUUAGCGCAUGUGUUUUGUUUUUUUUUUUAAUAAUCAGGGAAGAGGUGAUUGUGUGUCUGUCUUCGGCAUACACCUUGAAGGACUGCAACAAUCCAGGAAGAGUUGACGGGUCCUGCACUGAUGGCAAUGAACAAGAUGAUGUGCAGUGGCCUAGUAGAAGAGGAGACACAUUUUUCACCAAGUGUUUUUCAAUUACCAUCAAGUGAUCAUGGUAAAUUUCCAAAUGGUUAUUGAUGAGACUUAGUUUACAUUCAGGUAUUCACAUCAAAGAUGAUACUGUCCAUUACCAGUUAACAAGUUGUAUCCUGCCACUUGCUUGUUAUAAGUAUGUUUCUUAAGAUUCUAGCAGUCCUGACACCACAGUGAUAGACAGUGGUCGUCAGUAGGAACUUGCCGGUAACCAGCUAUGUGAUACUGUGGAUGUCACCAAUUAGUUGAGAUCAACUGUUCUUGAGAUAGGUUUAUGUGAAGCUCUCCUGAUUGAUAGGCUCAGCUAUCGUAUUUAGUGAGGCAUAUGGAAGUAUCUAGAUUAGUGGUGCCGUGGGCCUAAACCACAGCACAGAUCACGUGAUCCUAAUAUGUAGAUGCUUGUCAAGAAAACCCAGUGAACCUCACAGUAUUCACUGAUGGAAGCUUGCUCUUGACCUGGUAUCCCGUUAAGGUCUUUGCUACUAAACGAUACAAGAUGAUGUGACGUUUUCUCAUUAGAGACAUUCUCAUUUUCAGGUUCCCAUCAAGAGCUCCUGGUGAACUUCCUCAUGGUUUUUACCAGCGACAUCCUUGUCUUGCAGUAAGUGGUGAUGUGCCUUAAGCAUCCCCACCGACCUUCUGUCUUGAGAUGUCUAGACUCGUAUCAUUGAAUCACACUGAGCCUAUUGAUGAUAGCUAACAUAAGACAUUGCUAAUGUCACAGUAGAGAUGAUGUAGGCCUUAGCCACAGCACCGACCAUCUGAUCUUCAGACUGCUAGGUGCUCCGUAGAAGUUGUGUUACCUGACGAUAGUCUUGACCUUGGAGUCCUACAGCUAUUCGAGCAGAGGUUUCCUGUCAAGAGAUUAUGAUGAAACUCGCACUAGUGAUUCUCUGGGGACAUUACUGUUCCCCAGACAAGUGGUGAUGUUCACCUUCGCCAUUUCAAACCAUCUGAUCUUCUCGUAUCUGGAUGAAUGUUAUCGAUGGACUAAACUUGCUUAGUGCAUGUGUUUUGUUUUUUUUUUUAAUAAUCAGGGAAGAGGUGAUUGUGUGUCUGUCUUCGGCCUACACCUUGAAGGACUGCAACAAUCCAGGAAGAGUUGACGGGUCCUGCGCUGAUGGCAAUGAACAAGAUGAUGUGCAGUGGCCUAGUAGAAGAGGAGACACAUUUUUCACCAAGUGUUUUUCAAUUACCAUCAAGUGAUCAUGGUAAAUUUCCAAAUGGUCAUUGAUGGGACUUAGUUUACAUUCAGGUAUCCACAUCAAAGAUGAUACUGUCCAUUACCAGUUAACAAGUUGUAUCCUGCCACUUGCUUGUUAUAAGUAUGUUUCUUAAGAUUCUAGCCGUCCUGACACCACAGCGACAGACAGUGGUCGUCAGUAGGAACUUGCCGGUAACCAGCUAUGUGAUACUGUGGAUGUCACCAAUUAGUUGAGAUCAACUGUUCUUGAGAUAGGUUUAUGUGAAGCUCUCCUGAUUGAUAGGCUCAGCUAUCGUAUUUAGUGAGGCAUAUGGAACUAUCUAGAUUAGUGGUGCCGUGGGCCUAAACCACAGCACAGAUCACGUGAUCCUAAUAUGUAGAUGCUUGUCAAGAAAACCCAGUGAACCUCACAGUAUUCACUGAUGGAAGCUUGCUCUUGACCUGGUAUCCCGUUAAGGUCUUUGCUACUAAACGAUACAAGAUGAUGUGACGUUUUCUCAUUAGAGACAUUCUCAUUUUCAGGUUCCCAUCAAGAGCUCCUGGUGAACUUCCUCAUGGUUUUUACCAGCGCCAUCCUUGUCUUGCAGUAAGUGGUGAUGUGCCUUAAGCAUCCCCACCGACCUUCUGUCUUGAGAUGUCUAGGUAAGUGACGAUAAUAUCACUAACACUUGUGUGACCACGGUUUUGUUUGGUUUUGUGUGUGUGUGUGUGUGUAAAAAUAGUACCUCAGACAAGUCUAGUAAGCAUUAUUAGCUCUCACAGGCUUAAGAGUUUAGGGGCACCUAGCCCAUCCGUGGAGCAUGUGACUCUUGAUCAUGGGUUGUGAGUUCAAGCCCCACUGUGGGCCUAGAGCUUACGUAAAAAUAAAUCAAUACAAAAGAGCUUAUGUUUAAUGUGUGUUGAACAUAAAUAGUGACCGAGAUCUAUGCAGGUAAGUUAUCCAGGCUUCAUACACCAGUGUUGCCCAUAAGAUUUUUCCAGGUGGUCAGUCAAGAGGUAAUGGUGUCUCUAAUAUCCAUGUAGACCAUGACGUUCUGCCAGGAUCCAGGUAAUGUUGAUGGUUCCCACAAUGAGGAAAUUGACCAAAAUUCUUUACAGGCCCCCUGGAAGAACACGUUGUUGCCUUACCCACAUUUUGACACCUCUUUUUUCAGGUUCCUGUCAAGAAAUCUCUGUGAACGUAAUAACGGUCAUGAACAAAAUCUUGUUAGUAACCAGUGAAGGGAUAAAGAGUGUUACUUACAGUGAAGACCAUCUAAUCUUCACAUUAUCAAAGCAAGUGAGAAUGAGGUCUCUAACAUUUGUGUUCUCAUCUUUUUGCAGAUAAGCCAUCAGGGUUUUGCUAGUAAACAGGUAUGAGAUGAUGUGACAUUGACGUAGACAUUAUUUUCAGAGCUCUUUGUGACUAAUGAUAUUAUUCAGGCUCUUACAGUAACCUAGUGUUAGGCACGUAUGCAGUUAAGAAAUUAAGUUGUCCCUGACAAUCAUAAUAUGCCUGAGAAUUUCUUAUUGUUUAGGGAUAAUAUGUUUUGGACUGAUAGUGGGACUUUCAGACAUCCAGGUAAUUCAUCAUAUUGUCCAUCGCUGUGUUACUUACCGUGGGAUGAUUGCGGAUAAUCCUUCAAGAGAGGAAGGUGGCGCUUGCUAGGGGCUGACCUCAGAGUUUUGCAAGUUUUCAGGUAUUACUGAUGGGUCCUGAAAUAUGAUGCAAAUGACCAAGGGAAUUGGCAGUUGUCCAUCAGGAUAAACUUGUACCCAACGCGUUUUUCGCAGUGUGUUUGUCAGGUUCCUGUCCAGACAUCACGACGAACCUAGCGAUGGUCAGUAAUGGGGAACUUUCUGCAAGCAGGCAGAUAAAAGAGCAUGUGGGCCUAAACCUCAGGCCGUCUGGUCUCCAGAUAGCUAGGUAAGUGAUGACGUUUAUAACAUUUCUCAAUCCCAUUACGUUCCUGCAGGUGUUGAGGUAAGAGACGAUGUAGCCCUUACCAGUAAUAAAAACCGUGAGUUCUCACCUUUAUGUUUAGAGAACAUCUAUAGCCCUGUUCGUGUCGAAGGGUGGUUCUUGUACAGGUGAUUGUCAUGGAGUUCACACCCCAGUAGGACCCACGGAAUGUGGCAGAUGUCCAGUUGAUGUGUUCCAUAGUAAUGCGAGUGAAAAGGUUAUGUUCAGGUGUUCUAGUAGCAUAAUUUGCAUUUCAAACCCAUUGUUGCUUGUCCUUUUACGGGUUCUUGUCAAGAGAACACAGUGAACCUUCCACCGGUUUGGAACGCAUCCUUACUAGUAACCAGGUAGGUCAUACAGUGGGUCUUACUACACUGCAGACCAAUGUAAUCCCCAAUAUCUAGGUAAGUGAGGGUGGUGUCCCUAACACUGUGUUACUGUGUUCAUUUGCAGAUACCCUUUUAAGGUCUUUGCUUGCCCACAGAUAUGCAAUCAUGCGACAUCAACUCAAUAGAGACGUUCUUAUUUUUUGAUACCCACAUAUUAAUGUGUUUCACGUUCUAGUAUUCACAUUGUUUUUGGCAUGUAUUCUGUUAAGAAAUCAGUGUAUUGCUAAAAUACUAGUAAGAAUGAGAGUUUUAUCCUGGUUCAGAGAUACUGUAUUUUUUAAAAUGAGUAGCGAUAGAAGGAUAUGCAGGUACUCAGGUAAUUGAGAAUAUUGUCGGUCACAGUAUUAUUGACCGUGGCUUUUUUGUAGGUAUCCCUGCGGAGAGGAACCAGUCUCUUCCUAGCUUUGAGCUUGGAGUUCUGCAAGUACGCAGGUAGUGUCGAUGGAUCCCCAAACAAUACAAGUGACCAAGGGAAUUUGCAGGUGUAUGGGUUAAAUAAGACGUAAACAAAAUUUCCAAAAUGUGUUUUUCAGAUUCACUUCAGGACAUGACAGUGAGUCUGUCAAUAGUAGUUCAUGUGAGACCCUGGUGGUAUGAACGUAAGUGAUGAUGUGGGCCCCAGCACAGACCAUCUGAUUUGCAUAUGCAUGGGCAAGUGAUUAAGUGUUCUAACACUUCUCCUUACCGUGAUUUUUUUUUUUUUUUGGCAAGUAUUCGGGGAAAAAAAAUGAUGGUUUUACCAACUGUAGAAAACACAAGUUUUCACUUUUAUAUUUCAGGAAGGUUUAUGUUGAACACUGUGAGGCAUUACAUACAUCCAAGUAUUUAUCUUGUGUUCUCUUCGUAGUACUAUUUAUAUGAUAUUUAGAAGCGUCCGAGGGGCGCCUGGGUGGCGCAGUCGGUUGAGCGUCCGACUUCAGCCAGUUCACGAUCUCGCGGUCCGUGAGUUCAAGCCCUGCGUCAGGCUCUGGGCUGAUGGCUCCGAGCCUGGAGCCUGUUUCUGAUUCUGUGUCUCCCUCUCUCUCUGCCCCUCCCCCGUUCAUGCUCUGUCUCUCUCUGUCCCAAAAAUAAAUAAACGUUGAAAAAAAAAUUUUUUUAGAAGCGUCCGAACACUGAGUUUUCUGACGUUGUUGCUAACUUUUAAUUACAAUUAUUCAGAGUUGGUUUGUUCCAUAAUGAUGAAGUGAACAAUCUUUUUUGCAGGUGUCAUGGUAGAAAAAGUUGUUUCCAUUAACCCUGAUUUCGUAACGUGUUUUCCAGAUCCUUGUCAAGACCUCAGGAUGAACUUAGCAGCAGUCAUUAAUAGGGGCGGAUAUCCUGUUGAUACGCAGGUAAGGCCACCCGAUCUCCAGAUACCUAGGUAAGGGAUAACAGUGUCUCUAAGGGUUGUUACCAUGAUUUCUUUGCAAGUAUUCGGGUAGGAAUUGAUAGUCCUUUCUAAUUCUAGAAAGUGUGAGUUGUUAGCGUUUGUAUUUUAGAAAAGAUGUCUGUUUAGCCCUGUGAGUGUUAAGGGAUCCCUUUGAGUGUUAAGGGAUAUUUAUCAUGAUGCUUCCGACCAUAGCAAUGACCAUGGAAAUUUUGCAGGUGUCCUGUAAAGAAAUAGUGUCUUCCCUGACAACAAUGGUCUUGAUCUUGGAGUACUGCAAGCGUUCAGGUAGAGUUGAUAUUCUCAUAAUAGCGAAAGUGACCAAGGUGCCCUAGAGGUGUUCUGCUUACAGCAGGUCACGUCCCUUUACACAUAUGUCAUAAUGUAUUUGUCAGGUUCCUUCAAGAUCCUGAAGCACUUAACAGUGGUCGGUAAUGGGGGACAUUUCUUGUGUCCAGGUAAGUGGUGAUGUGUAUCUUUACCGCAUCAGACCCUCUGAUCUCUCCGUGUGUGUGUGUGUUAUAAGUAAGGUGUUGAUUGCCUUAGCUUAUUUUACUGUGUGAUUCUUUUUAAGGUUUGCCAGUAAGAAAUGAUGUUUUAAUAAUUCUGGCAAUCAUGUUAUCCUGCUGUUACUUAUUUUAGAGAAAACGUAUGUUUAACCGUGUGAGUGUUGAUCAGUUUGUGGGUAUCCACGUAAUAAUCACAAAGUUGUGCAUCACAGUAGUAACUGUGGUAUUGCUGCUGGCAAACAUUCAAGAGAUGAUGGUGUUUCUAACAGUGGUGUAGACUGGAGAAUACUGCAAGAAUCCAGGUAGAGUUGAUAGGUCCUGCGUUGACGAAACUGAGCAAGGUUAUUUGGAGGGUCCCGAGAGGAGAAGUUUGUCCGUAGUCACCUUUGUCAUAAUGUGUUUUUCAGGUUCCGGUCAAGAAAUCAUGGUAUGCCUCAUAAUGACCAUGAACAGAACUUUGCUCGCAGCCAGGUAAAAGAUAGGAGCCUAAAACACCCUACACACCAUCCAGUCUUCAAAUAUUUAGGUUAGCAUGGAUGGUCCUAAUGUUUGGGAUAGCACGUUUUUCUGUGUGGAUUCGGUUGAAAAAUAAUACUGUCCCAACCAAUGUUAGUAGUAAGCAUUAGCCCUUAGAACUAUAGAGCUUAACAUUCAGUGGGUGUUUAAACUUAGCAUUGAUGGAGGCAUAUACAGGUAUCUAGGUAAGUUAUUCUACUAUUAACAAUCUCAUUAAGUUCUUUGCUAGUAUAAAAUUGAGGUGAUGUGAUAAUAAAUCCUCAGGGAUUUAUCUUCAGAUAUAUAGGUAAUUAAUGCUUCCUCAACCUUUAUAUUAGUCUUCUUGGCGUAUACACAGUUCAGAAAUUAACUGGCAAGCAUGAGCUUUUACUGUCUCCUUGUUUGGAGAUAAUACGUGUUUUUACACUCAUACCAAUGGACCUACAGUCAGUCAUCCAGCUAAUUUGUCAUAUAUUCCAUACCCAUGAUGCUGACCAUAGGAUUUUUACAGACAUCCACUCAAAAGAUUAAUUUAACCUGUUGAGUUCUGCGUAUUAUCCAGUAAUGUUGAAGGGGGUCCCAAAAUAAUACACUGGCCAAGAGAAUUUGCAAUUAUCCAAGUAGAAUAAAAUGUACAUGGAACAAGUUUUCUAUGCUGUGUUUUCAGGCUCAGGUUAAGACAUCAUGGGGAGUAUAUCCAUCGUGGUAAAUGAGGCACAUAGCAGGUAUGGAGGUAAGUGAUGAUGUGGGCCUGAAUCACAGCACAGACCAUCUGAUUCUAUAUGCAGGUAAGGUAUUAUGGUCCUAACACUUCUUGUUACUAUGAUUUUGUUACAGGUGUUCAGGUAAGAGAUAGUCCUUACCAAAUCUAGUGACCUUGACUUUAUACGUUUUACAUUUUAGAGAUAAACGUUUAACCCUGUGAGUUUUGAGAGCUGAUUGUAUCCAUAACUGUUAAUUUCCCACCCCAGUAGUAACCACAGUGUAUUUGCAGGAAGUCUGCUUCAGACAUGAUGGCCUUCUUCUGAUGAAGGUGUUGACCUGAGUUGAUGCAAACGUCAAGGUGUCCGUUCAAGAGAAGUAGAUGUCUCUUCACAGGGUUUAUCCUUGGAGUUCUGGAAGUUAACGUCAAGACCUCAUGGUGACUUUAUCAAUGAUAAUGAAUGUGGGACAUCGCUGGAAUGGAGGUAAGUGAUCCUGUGGGUCUAAACCACAGCACAUACCAUCCAGCUUUCAUACAUGGAGGUAAAUGGUGAGUGUCCUUACACUUCCUGUUACCAUGAAUUUUUUGAAGGUGUGCAGGUAAGAAAUGAUAGAGUCCUUACCAAUUCCAAAGACCCUGUUUCUCUGCUUUCUGUAUUUCAGGAAAUGUUCAUUUUUAACCCUCUGAGUGUUGAGGGACUGCACGUAUACAGGUAUUUAUCAUGAUAUUGCCCGUGAAAGUCCUACCCAUAGGCUAUUUGCAGGUGUCCAAUCAUAGAUUGAUGGUCUUAUCCGAUACUGGUAUUAACCUUAGAUUACUGUAAGUAUCCAGUAGAGUUGAUGUGUCUCAUGAUGAUGAAGUGAACACUGUUAUUUGCAGGUUUCCUGGUAGGAAAAAGCUAUGUCCUUCAACACACGCUCGUAAUGUCUUUCCAGCUUCCAGUCACGAAUUGAUGAAUCUAACAUUGCUCAUCAGUGGGGAUGUUCCUAGUGUGCAGGUAAGUGAUGACGUGGGCCUAGACCAGGCCAUCCGAUCUCCAUCUAACUGGGUAAGUGAUGAAGGUUUCCCUAACAGUUGUUACCAUUUUUCUUUGCAAGUAUUCAGGUAGGAAAUAGCCCUUACCAAUUCUAGAAACCAUGAGUUUUUUCUUUUUAUAUUUUAUUCUUGUGAGUGAUGAGGGGUUGCCAUAUUCAGGUAAUGAUCAUGAUGUAUCUAACCCUAGCCGUAACCGUGGAAAUUUUGCAUGUGUUUCAUAAUGAAAUGUUGUUAUAUCUGAUCAUGAUCUUGACCUUGGUUGGAAUACUGCAAAUAUUUAGGUGGAAUUGAUGUUCUACUAAUGAAGGAAGCGUCUAAGGUAAUUAAUUUGAGGUUUCUUGCUGCAAGUUCUGUCUUUUUACACAUCCGUAAUGUGUUUUUCAGCUUCCUGCCGAAAGAUCAAGAUGAAAUCAAUGGUUAAUGGGGGACAUUUCUGGUAUCCGGAUAGGUUAUGCCGUAUGCCUUCACCACAUCAGACCAUCUAAUAGUCACAUAUCUAGCAGUCAUCUCAAAAG